This 74-nucleotide small nucleolar RNA is filed under the name Marmota marmota marmota (Alpine marmot). RNAcentral describes it as "Small nucleolar RNA SNORD107 (ENSMMMG00000019167.1)". It matches the Rfam family "Small nucleolar RNA SNORD107". RNAcentral also lists the same sequence under 1 other name. Lineage: Eukaryota; Metazoa; Chordata; Mammalia; Rodentia; Sciuridae. The record is from Rfam by way of RNAcentral.
GGUUCAUGAUGACACAGGACCUUGUCUGAAUAUGAUGAUUUCAAGAUUUGAGCUUAAAUUGACACUCUGAAAUC